UACCUGCAGCUCGAGUGGUAACCGCUUUUAUUGGGCCUAAAGCGUCCGUAGCCGGUUUGGUAAAUAUCUGGGUAAAUCGUGAGGCUUAACUUCACGAAUUUCGGAUAGACUGCCAGACUUGGGAUCGGGGGAGGUCAGAGGUACUCCAGGGGUAGCGGUGAAAUGUUGUAAUCCUUGGAGGACCACCGGUAGCGAAGGCGUCUGACUAGAACGAGUCCGACGGUGAGGGACGAAGCCCUGGGGCGCAAACCGGAUUAGAUACCCGGGUAGUCCAGGGUGUAAACAAUGUGGGCUUUGUAUUGGAGGUCCUACGUGGGCGUCCAGUGCGGAAGAGAAGUUGUUAAGCCCACCGCCUGGGAAGUACGGUCGCAAGGCUGAAACUUAAAGGAAUUGGCGGGGGAGGACAGCAACGGGAGGAGCGUGCGGUUU
RNAcentral lists this ribosomal RNA (429 nucleotides) under uncultured archaeon. Its description in RNAcentral is "bacterial SSU rRNA". It matches the Rfam family "Archaeal small subunit ribosomal RNA", at positions 474 to 903 of the family's 1478-position model. The record is from RNAcentral.